GCCAGGUGUUGUGGCGGGCACCUGUAAUCCCAGCUGCUCAGGAGGCUGAGGCAGGAGAUUCGCUUGAACCCGGGAGGUGGAGGUUGCAGUGAGCCGAGAUCACAUGACUGCACUCCAGCCUGGGCGACAAAGUGAGACCCUGUCUCAA
This 148-nucleotide non-coding RNA is filed under the name Pan troglodytes (chimpanzee). The record is from Rfam by way of RNAcentral. Lineage: Eukaryota; Metazoa; Chordata; Mammalia; Primates; Hominidae.